Long non-coding RNA from Ictalurus punctatus (channel catfish), 623 nucleotides. The record is from Ensembl. NCBI's taxonomy places the organism in Eukaryota, Metazoa, Chordata, Actinopteri, Siluriformes, Ictaluridae.
CCCUCUGUUCCUCAAUAUCGAGCCUUCCCACAGGUAUGAGACUGACUCUCUCCUGCUCACAGACCUGGAUGACUUGUAGAAGUACAGGGGAGGGAUUUAUACAUCAAAAAUAAGAAAACACACAGCAUUUUGUCACACAAUGUUUCGUGUGUGGGUUGCAUGAAGCUGUUGGAGGCUGAACAGAGACGUUAGACUGAUUUAAAAUGAUUAUGAACAUGGACGGGAUUGUGCUGAGGCUGCUCAUGUUUGUGGUGUGUGUUGGAGGAGCAGCAGAGUUCAGAACGCGUACAGGCGCACGAGGCGCCGCUUUCACGAGAUUAAGACGUGAGAGCAACACAGCUAAACCUGCACAUGUUGGGAAGUUGGGGUCAGAGUGCAGGGUCAGCCAAGAUGCAGUGCCCCUGAAGCAGAGAGGGUUGAGGGUCUUGCUCAAGGGCCCAACAGUGGCAGCUUGGCAGUGCAGGGGUUUGAACCACCAACCUUCCGAUCAGUAACCUAGAGCCUUAACCACUAAACCACCACUAUCCCCCCAAUGUAAGCAUAUGGAAUUGUUCUCUUUUUUUCUGAAAAUGCGGAUUUGCUACAUCAUUUGACUCACUCAAAAUACUCAUGUGUGUAUGAUG